RNAcentral lists this ribosomal RNA (253 nucleotides) under uncultured bacterium. RNAcentral describes it as "partial 16S ribosomal RNA". It matches the Rfam family "Bacterial small subunit ribosomal RNA", at positions 524 to 776 of the family's 1533-position model. The record is from RNAcentral.
UACGAAGGGGGCUAGCGUUGUUCGGAAUUACUGGGCGUAAAGCGCACGUAGGCGGGUCGUUAAGUCAGGGGUGAAAUCCCAGAGCUCAACUCUGGAACUGCCUUUGAUACUGGGUAUCUGGAGUAUGGAAGAGGUGAGUGGAAUUCCGAGUGUAGAGGUGAAAUUCGUAGAUAUUCGGAGGAACACCAGUGGCGAAGGCGGCUCACUGGUCCAUUACUGACGCUGAGGUGCGAAAGCGUGGGGAGCAAACAGG